GAUAAAUUUAAAAUUCUAAUCAAAUUACUUUGUGCAUACCGAUCAAAUAAAUCAUUCCAAAGAUCCUUAACAGAAUCAAUCUACAUAAUAUUUUGAGCUAUUGGGGGAGAUACAAACUUAAUGAUCCAUGACAGAACAAGAGUAUUACAUCUCUUCCAUACUCUGCACAGAGGAUCAUCCUUGUUUGGAACAUGAAUUGAUUCAUCUAUGAAGCCCUCCAUAUUCUUAUAAAUCAAUGCUAGUUUUACUAAACGAGACCAUGAGUGAUAAUUCUUACCUAUAAGGACAUUAGUGGUGAGUUGACUUGCUG
This 310-nucleotide long non-coding RNA is filed under the name Carica papaya (papaya). Its description in RNAcentral is "long non-coding RNA (CPAP_LNC010011)". Lineage: Eukaryota; Viridiplantae; Streptophyta; Magnoliopsida; Brassicales; Caricaceae. The record is from RNAcentral.